GCCCGGGUGGUGGAAUGGUAGACACUGGGGACUUAAAAUCCCUUGCCAGUAAUGGCGUGCCGGUUCGAGUCCGGCCUCGGGUA
RNAcentral lists this transfer RNA (83 nucleotides) under Flavobacteriaceae bacterium. Its description in RNAcentral is "tRNA-Leu". It matches the Rfam family "tRNA". From Rfam's summary of the family: Transfer RNA (tRNA) molecules are approximately 80 nucleotides in length. Their secondary structure includes four short double-helical elements and three loops (D, anti-codon, and T loops). Lineage: Bacteria; Pseudomonadati; Bacteroidota; Flavobacteriia; Flavobacteriales; Flavobacteriaceae. The record is from RNAcentral. RNAcentral also lists the same sequence under 1 other name.